Molecule: transfer RNA, 75 nt
Filed under: Methanobrevibacter cuticularis
Lineage: Archaea; Methanobacteriati; Methanobacteriota; Methanobacteria; Methanobacteriales; Methanobacteriaceae
Description: tRNA-Arg
Rfam family: tRNA
About the family: Transfer RNA (tRNA) molecules are approximately 80 nucleotides in length. Their secondary structure includes four short double-helical elements and three loops (D, anti-codon, and T loops).
Source: RNAcentral
UGCCCUGAUAGUGUAGUUGGAUAACACGUAGGAUUGCGGAUCCUAUUCCCCGGGUUCAAGUCCCGGUCAGGGCAU